Small nucleolar RNA from Panthera pardus (leopard), 89 nucleotides. Its record names the gene SNORD14. It matches the Rfam family "Small nucleolar RNA SNORD14". From Rfam's summary of the family: U14 small nucleolar RNA (U14 snoRNA) is required for early cleavages of eukaryotic precursor rRNAs. In yeasts, this molecule possess a stem-loop region (known as the Y-domain) which is essential for function. Lineage: Eukaryota; Metazoa; Chordata; Mammalia; Carnivora; Felidae. The record is from Ensembl.
UCACAGUGAUGAAUGGUCCAUACAUUCGCGGUUUCCACCAGAACUUCAGGUGUUGGCAACUUAGAUUCCUUCCUUGGAUGUCUGAGUGA